GGGCCCAUGGCGCAGUUGGUAGCGCGUCUCGUUUGCAACGAGAAGGUCGUCGGUUCGACCCCGACUGGGUCCA
This 73-nucleotide transfer RNA is filed under the name Candidatus Beckwithbacteria bacterium GW2011_GWC1_49_16. Its description in RNAcentral is "tRNA-Ala". It matches the Rfam family "tRNA". From Rfam's summary of the family: Transfer RNA (tRNA) molecules are approximately 80 nucleotides in length. Their secondary structure includes four short double-helical elements and three loops (D, anti-codon, and T loops). Further hydrogen bonds mediate the characteristic L-shaped molecular structure. tRNAs have two regions of fundamental functional importance: the anti-codon, which is responsible for specific mRNA codon recognition, and the 3' end, to which the tRNAs corresponding amino acid is attached (by aminoacyl-tRNA synthetases). tRNAs cope with the degeneracy of the genetic code in two manners: having more than one tRNA (with a specific anti-codon) for a particular amino acid; and 'wobble' base-pairing, i.e. permitting non-standard base-pairing at the 3rd anti-codon position. The record is from RNAcentral. Lineage: Bacteria; Candidatus Beckwithiibacteriota.